UACGUAGGUGGCUAGCGCUGUCCGGAUUUACUGGGCGUAAAGCGCGCGCAGGCGGUCGUUCAAGUCGAGUGUGAAAGCCCCCGGCUCAACUGGGGAGGGUCACUCGAUACUGAUCGACUUGAAGGCAGAAGAGGGAAGCGGAAUUCCCGGUGUAGUGGUGAAAUGCGCAGAUAUCGGGAGGAACACCAGUAGCGAAGGCGGCUCGCUGGGCCAUUCCUGACGCUGAGACGCGAAAGCUAGGGGAGCGAACAGG
RNAcentral lists this ribosomal RNA (253 nucleotides) under uncultured bacterium. RNAcentral's name for it is "partial 16S ribosomal RNA". It matches the Rfam family "Bacterial small subunit ribosomal RNA", at positions 524 to 776 of the family's 1533-position model. The record is from RNAcentral.